AUGGAAAACGGCAGUGCUCACUUUUCUGAUAACAAAUUUAAGGCCAGGGCAUUGGAAAACAGGCUGGAAGGCACCACCACAAGCUUCAUGCUAUGUCACUGGCUCAGCAGUGGGGAGGAGAAACAGAAUCACAUAACAGAAAUUAUUCCCCACCCAGAGAAGGCAAACUGCAGCGACGAGAAAUACCCAGACUGCUGGUGUAAGAAAGAGGCAACUUCAAAAAGCCACACACGUGAUGAAGUUGAAUGCCAAAGACGCUGCUGUUCAUUUAGAAUUACGAUUUGGACAGCAAGUUGAGGAGCAACGAGACCCAACAGGACAAAUAUUGGGUCAAAUACUGGAAAUAAAAUCCGCCAGUUCAGACUAGUGCUUCUGGGGCAAGUCUGCCACCAGCAAGUCCUAGUGCUUUGCUUUGUAAAAGGCCACUUUCAUGAAUUUCAAGAGAGUACCCUGGGACUGCUUUUCUAAGCCAAACUGUAUGUCUUUAUGACACGACCAUAAAGGUUGAAAUGUGGGGUACAGCUGGCCAAGAACGGUACCAUAGGCUAGCCCCAAUGUACUGCAGAGGAGCAUAAACCGCCAUAGCUGCAUAUGAUAUCGCACAUGAGAAGUCCUCUACAAGAGCAAAAAAUUGGGUUAAAGAACUUCAGAAGCAAGAAAAGCCUAACACUGUCAUAGCUUUAUCAGAAAACAAGGUUGAUCUAGCAAAUAAAAGAGCUGUAGACUUCCUGGAAGCACAGUCCUAUGCAGAUGACAACGGUUUAUCAUUCAUGGAGACAUGAGCUUAAGUAUCAGUGAAUGUAACUGAAAUAUUCAUGGCAAUAGCUAAAAAAUUGCCUAACAAUGAACCACAGAAUCCAGGGGAAAAUUCAACCAGAGAAAAAGGAGGAGACUUUACUGAACACACACAACCAACCAGGAGUCAGUGUUGUAGUAACUAGACCUCCAGUUUGAGCUAGCUGGAAUAUUCUUCUGUUUUCUAAAAGUUAAUGAAAGUGGAAUUGGAGCAUUUAACCAGCCCAGUAUGACUUCCAAAAAGAAGAGACUCAUGAUAGAGUCAAGUUUCUAACACAGAAUUAUUUUAAGUGUUUUGAACUUAAUUUUUAAUAACAUGCAUGUGUCCCUCUGACUAAUGUUUCAGCAACAGGAAGGGAAAAUGAGAACUAUGUGUACACUUGUUUCAUUAAAAGGUUAGGAAUAAUAACUUCUCAUCACUAGGGAACAUAGACAAACGACCGUCUUGACCACACAGUUAACCAGCCAGUUUCUUCACACUGGUACAGCAGUCAC
This is an RNA transcript of Carlito syrichta (Philippine tarsier), 1290 nucleotides long. It is a transcript of the gene named ras-related protein Rab-5A pseudogene, with no coding region annotated. The record is from RefSeq and is a predicted model, not a curated record. NCBI's taxonomy places the organism in Eukaryota, Metazoa, Chordata, Mammalia, Primates, Tarsiidae. The transcript has 3 exons.